GAUCAUGGCUCAGGAUGAACGCUAGCGACAGGCUUAACACAUGCAAGUCGAGGGGCAGCAAUUUGUAGCAAUACAAAGUUGGCGACCGGCGCACGGGUGAGUAACGCGUAUGCAACCUACCCACAACAGAAGAAUAAUCCGGCGAAAGUCGGUCUAAUACUUCAUAAAACAGGGACACCGCAUGGUGUUAUUUGUUAAAGAUUUAUCGGUUGUGGAUGGGCAUGCGUACCAUUAGGUAGUUGG
Molecule: ribosomal RNA, 243 nt
Filed under: uncultured bacterium
Lineage: Bacteria
Description: partial 16S ribosomal RNA
Rfam family: Bacterial small subunit ribosomal RNA
Source: RNAcentral